GCUGAAAUAGCUCAGUUGGCAGAGCGACAGGCUUUUAACCUGUUGGUCGUGGGUUCAAUUCCCACUUUUAGCG
Molecule: transfer RNA, 73 nt
Filed under: Cryptomonas paramaecium
Lineage: Eukaryota; Cryptophyceae; Cryptomonadales; Cryptomonadaceae
Description: Cryptomonas paramecium tRNA-Lys
Rfam family: tRNA
About the family: Transfer RNA (tRNA) molecules are approximately 80 nucleotides in length. Their secondary structure includes four short double-helical elements and three loops (D, anti-codon, and T loops).
Source: RNAcentral